This 238-nucleotide long non-coding RNA is filed under the name Gossypium barbadense (sea-island cotton). Its description in RNAcentral is "long non-coding RNA (GBAR_LNC011386)". Lineage: Eukaryota; Viridiplantae; Streptophyta; Magnoliopsida; Malvales; Malvaceae. The record is from RNAcentral.
CCUCUUUAAAUUUUAUUUUUAUUUGAAUUUUGGGAUUUAGUUACUUAAAUUUUAAUCUGGUAGUAGUAGGUCUCGGUUUUUCAAGAAAGUAUAAAGAGAUGUUUUUUGAAAACACCACAUUUACGCAACACAUUUUGAAAGCUUCUGCAAUAAACACUGUUUUGAAAUUUAAUAACAAACUAAUAUAAUUAAUAUUUUGCUAAGACAACUUGAGUUUUCACAAUGAACCGGACAUCCA